AAUAUUGGAACUCUUUUUACUAUAUAAGUACUUAAAACUAUUUAAGUGGUGUAAGAAGAACAUAAGCUUUAUAAAUUGUAAAGUGAUAAAAUAAAAUUCCAUCUGAUAUAUUCAAAGAGUGGAAAAUAUGGAUAAAAUUUUCAAGUUUGUUUAUGUUAUGAUAAUUCUUCUUUCCCUAGUUUUUCUUCCAAAACUUCCAAGUACUUAGUAAAUCAAUUUUAUCUCCUUUUCAAAUUUCCUUCUUUAUUACUUCGUACAAAAUAUUUUAUUUCAUUUUAAUAACAUCGUUUUUUUUUCUUAUUACAAUACAGUUCCCAUUCCAUGUUUAACGGAUCGUGAUUGUCCAUCACUUCCUAAGGGGCGCAGUUCAAAUCCUAGUAAACUGAGGUGUCGUAAUGGUUUUUGUAUAGGGAAAUGAUUAAUAUAGCGAACAGUAUCUCACGAAGGAAAUCACAAAUGAUGUGGCAUCUUUUAUUUAAUUUAAUUAAUUUAAUGAUCUCUCUUUCUAGUCUCUUUUCAUCUUCCGUUCCGGUGACAAGACUCAAUCUUCUUCUCUUUGCAACUUUGCCUUGUUCUCCUUCCAAAAUUAAUUAUAUGAACAUCCAAUUUUCUUUCUAUAUAUAUGAAAAUAUGGAUUUAUUGUGUUUAUGUCUGUUUUUUUUUUAGUUUUCACCGUAGUUUAAGCUGGUUCGGGGUCAGUUCUGAUAACAAGUGGUUCUAGUCCCCUCCCAAUCACUGUUGUGGAGAAUCGAACCGUGGUCAUCCCUACCAAAUUCACCAC
Molecule: long non-coding RNA, 781 nt
Filed under: Trifolium pratense (red clover)
Lineage: Eukaryota; Viridiplantae; Streptophyta; Magnoliopsida; Fabales; Fabaceae
Description: long non-coding RNA (TPRA_LNC012119)
Source: RNAcentral